GGUGGCUCAGUGGUAGAGCGCUUGCCUUGCAUGCAUGAGGCCCUGGGUCCGAGUCCUUGACACCA
RNAcentral lists this transfer RNA (65 nucleotides) under Dipodomys ordii (Ord's kangaroo rat). It matches the Rfam family "tRNA". Rfam says of the family: Transfer RNA (tRNA) molecules are approximately 80 nucleotides in length. Their secondary structure includes four short double-helical elements and three loops (D, anti-codon, and T loops). The record is from Rfam by way of RNAcentral. Lineage: Eukaryota; Metazoa; Chordata; Mammalia; Rodentia; Heteromyidae.